This 384-nucleotide ribosomal RNA is filed under the name Bacillus anthracis (anthrax bacterium). RNAcentral describes it as "bacterial SSU rRNA". It matches the Rfam family "Bacterial small subunit ribosomal RNA", at positions 1061 to 1444 of the family's 1533-position model. The record is from RNAcentral. Lineage: Bacteria; Bacillati; Bacillota; Bacilli; Caryophanales; Bacillaceae.
CGUGUCGUGAGAUGUUGGGUUAAGUCCCGCAACGAGCGCAACCCUUGAUCUUAGUUGCCAUCAUUUAGUUGGGCACUCUAAGGUGACUGCCGGUGACAAACCGGAGGAAGGUGGGGAUGACGUCAAAUCAUCAUGCCCCUUAUGACCUGGGCUACACACGCGUGCUACAAUGGACGGUACAAAGAGCUGCAAGACCGCGAGGUGGAGCUAAUCUCAUAAAACCGUUCCCAGUUCGGGUUGUAGGCUGCAACUCGCCUACAUGAAGCUGGAAUCGCUAGUAAUCGCGGAUCAGCAUGCCGCGGUGAAUACGUUCCCGGGCCUUGUACACACCGCCCGUCACACCACGAGAGUUUGUAACACCCGAAGUCGGUGGGGUAACCUUUU